UGAGGAAUAUUGGUCAAUGGGCGGGAGCCUGAACCAGCCAAGCCGCGUGAGGGAGGAAGGCCCUAUGGGUCGUAAACCUCUUUUGUCAGGGAACAAAAGCGAGUAUGUAUACUAGUCUGAGUGUACCUGAAGAAAAAGCAUCGGCUAACUCCGUGCCAGCAGCCGCGGUAAUACGGAGGAUGCGAGCGUUAUCCGGAUUUUAUUGGGUUUAAAGGGUGCGUAGGCGGCGGUGCAAGUCAGCGGUAAAAGCCCGGGGCUCAACCCCGGCGAGCCGUUGAAACUGCAGUGCUAGAGAAGGCGAGAGGUACGCGGAAUGCGCAGUGUAGCGGUGAAAUGCUUAGAUAUUGCGCAGAACUCCGAUUGCGAAGGCAGCGUACUGGCGCCUGACUGACGCUGAGGCACGAAAGCGUGGGGAUCGAACAGGAUUAGAUACC
This 434-nucleotide ribosomal RNA is filed under the name uncultured bacterium. RNAcentral describes it as "bacterial SSU rRNA". It matches the Rfam family "Bacterial small subunit ribosomal RNA", at positions 355 to 786 of the family's 1533-position model. The record is from RNAcentral.